AAAACUUUUCAGCUAGAGUAUGAUAGAGGAAAGCAGAAUUUCUAGUGUAGAGGUGAAAUUCGUAGAUAUUAGAAAGAAUACCAAUUGCGAAGGCAGCUUUCUGGAUCAUUACUGACACUGAGGAACGAAAGCAUGGGUAGCGAAGAGGAUUAGAUACCCUCGUAGUCCAUGCCGUAAACGAUGUGUGUUAGACGUUGGAAAUUUAUUUUCAGUGUCGCAGCGAAAGCGAUAAACACACCGCCUGGGGAGUACGACCGCAAGGUUAAAACUCAAAUGAAUUGACGGGGACCCGCACAAGUAGUGGAGCAUGUGGUUUAAUUCGAAGAUACGCGCAGAACCUUACCAACACUUGACAUGUUCGUCGCGACUCUAAGAGAUUAGAGUUUUCGGUUCGGCCGGACGAAACACAGGUGCUGCAUGGCUGUCGUCAGCUCGUGUCGUGAGAUGUUGGGUUAAGUCCCGCAACGAGCGCAACCCUCACUUUUAGUUGCCAUCAUUAAGUUGGGCACUCUGAAAGAACUGCCAGUGAUAAGCUGGAGGAAGGUGGGGAUGACGUCAAGUCCUCAUGGCCCUUACGUGUUGGGCUACACACGUGCUACAAUGGUAUCUACAACAGGAAGCAAGACUGCGAGGUCAAGCAAAUCCCUAAAAGAUACCUCAGUUCGGAUUGCACUCUGCAACUCGAGUGCAUGAAGCUGGAAUUACUAGUAAUCGUGGAUCAGCGUGCCACGGUGAAUGCGUUCCCGGGUCUUGUACACACCGCCCGUCACACCAUGGGAGUUGGUUCUACCUUAAGGCAAGGUUUUAAACCCUUGACCACGGUAUAGUCAGCGACUGGGGUGAAGUCGUAACAAGGUAAC
This 860-nucleotide ribosomal RNA is filed under the name uncultured Alphaproteobacteria bacterium. RNAcentral describes it as "bacterial SSU rRNA". It matches the Rfam family "Bacterial small subunit ribosomal RNA", at positions 629 to 1500 of the family's 1533-position model. Lineage: Bacteria; Pseudomonadati; Pseudomonadota; Alphaproteobacteria. The record is from RNAcentral.